AUUGAACGCUGGCGGCAGGCCUAACACAUGCAAGUCGAGCGGUAACAGGAAGUAGCUUGCUACUUCGCUGACGAGCGGCGGACGGGUGAGUAACGCGUGGGUAACCUGCCCCAUACAAAGGGAUAGCCACUGGAAACGGUGAUUAAUACCAUAUGAGAUCGUAGAGUCGCAUGACUUAGCGGUUAAAGAUUUAUCGGUAUGGGAUGGACCCGCGUCUGAUUAGCUAGUUGGUAAGGUAACGGCUUACCAAGGCGACGAUCAGUAGCCGACCUGAGAGGGUGAUCGGCCACACUGGAACUGAGACACGGUCCAG
Molecule: ribosomal RNA, 313 nt
Filed under: uncultured Fusibacter sp.
Lineage: Bacteria; Bacillati; Bacillota; Clostridia; Eubacteriales; Fusibacteraceae
Description: bacterial SSU rRNA
Rfam family: Bacterial small subunit ribosomal RNA
Source: RNAcentral